GUGAGAAUAGUAGUGUUUUUAUAGUAUUACCUAAACUAGCCACACCACAGUGACAGUCCUAAGCCUGUAUAAAUAGUGAAGGGGUA
This 86-nucleotide non-coding RNA is filed under the name unclassified sequences. The record is from RNAcentral.